Molecule: long non-coding RNA, 3285 nt
Organism: Entelurus aequoreus (snake pipefish)
Lineage: Eukaryota; Metazoa; Chordata; Actinopteri; Syngnathiformes; Syngnathidae
Exons: 2
Source: RefSeq, a predicted model, not a curated record
GAGCGUUUAAAGGCGUGCUCCUCGUCCAUGUCCUCUGCCGGCCGCUUACCUGUGAGGAAAGACCGUCAAUGAGAGCUUCGGACAAUCCACUACACAAAUUGGCGUCACGAACAGGAUGGUUUAGAAGCUACAGGUCGACAGCCGCUCCCACUCUCUCUGUCAGGCAGACAGUGUGCUGCACGCGCGCAUAACAAGGUAAGCGUUUUGCUUAAAGUGUAAACAUUUUCUGCCUGGAGAGAGCCGGAUCGAUAAGACUAAUUGCUGAAUCUAUUUUUGAUAAAAGAUAGGUUUAGUCAGGUUCUCCAAAAACAACCUGGAAUGGGGUAAAUUAUGGUUGGAUUGAGUUGUUUUAUAUGUGAUCAUUUGUCUGUGUGUUUGUUGAAAACUUGUGAUUUCUUGUUUUUAACAUAAGGGGAUUGUUAUUAGAAUUUUGGUGUUUUGGAGUGUAGAAGCACAGACGAUGUGAGACAAAAAAUUUAUUUUAACCUCUUCAUCCUCUGUCGUUGCUGGCAGAGGAUGCUUCUUUCUGCAAGUGCAUCAGAUUUAGCCAGAGUUGGACAAAGAUAAAUUUAAGGCAAGGUUUGCUAACUGGUGUGACAUUUGGCCCAUAUAAAAUUGAUACGUCUGUGAAAGUGCGAGACACCUGUCUAUGUGGAAACUGCAGCGGUCCCUAGUCCUUGUGACUCAGCGUGUAAAAAAGCCUCUUAUUAGGUGACCAUUCAGUGACUCCGGUAAAGGAGAUCAACUGAGCCAAGUUGUCACGAAUCUGUUUAAAUGGCUGCAGAAUAGACAGUUGGCGUCUCGGGCUCCAUAUGGUAGAGCUUUGGUGAAACUUGGUGAAACUGUAUGGGACUGACCAGACACGAUGUCUGUAGGAUUGCCGGGUGAUUCCUGGUGGUCCUAUGGCGCCUUAGAGGCCAGUGAUCCGUGUUGGUCAGUUUGAUAACGCAGGUGCUGCUCCAAUGAAACGGGUUAAUCGCCGUUUUAUGAGCAAUGAUGGAACCUGGUUUUUGUGAUAUGAGACGGCCGAUUCCACAAAAGCACGCGUGCAUUAGUUGUUUAUAUUUGUCCGGACAAUGGGGUGGUAUGGUAAUUUAACAAUGUGUGUGUAUAAUGAUGAAUGCUGAAAUGUGUGUGUAUUGAGUGAUUCAGUUUAUGUUGGUACAUUUAGAUAUAUGCGUAAUUUAAUAACUUUUGUGUAGCACCUGGUUUCUUAUCUGGUUUAAUUCCCCCCUUCCUUUUCUUCACCCCCUCUCGCAACCUCCCUUCACGCUUUUUCUCACAGCCCCGCUAUCUGUAAAAGUUGGGAAAUUGUCUAAAAUGUGUGUGCGUGUGAGAAAGUAGACAAAGUUUAUGUACAGAAAACAUAUGAGUGAAUGAUCUAUCCAUUUAAUUAUCUUAUUCCGCUCUCUGAGGUUGGAUCGCGGGGGCAGCAGCCUAAGCAGGGAAUUCCAGAAUACCCUCCUUAAACUUGACCCAAACUUGACUAUUUGUCCAUCUAAGAGUGAAUGAUAAAUGUUGUUCUUAUUAUUAAGGUUCUGAUAUGAUACAGCUGUGCUUCUGGAUGAGAAAAAUAGUUGUCUAUUGCAUUUACUUUUAACUGUGCUGGUAAAUUCUCUGUGUGAGUGACUGUGUGACGCAUAUAAAAAAAAAUAAAAUAAAAAAAAAUAAAAAAUAAAAAAAGGAGUCUCAGUUGGAAGACAUUUUAAGAUAAGGGAUGUGUGCGGGUGACGAGGCUGUGGCGUGGGCCGAAGAGGUGUGACAAUGUUAGGAUAGCAUUGAGCUAGGAUAGCAUUGAGCUAGGUUAGCAUUAAGCUAGGUUAGCAUUGAGUUAGCAUAGCAUUGGAUUAGUUUAGCAUUGAGCUAGGUUUAAAGAAUACAAAAAUAAAUAAAUAAAAAAUAUAUAUAUAAAUAUAUAUAGUGGACAGCUGUACUCAAAUCUGAACAGAAGGCUGACAGGUUGGUUUUGAUAAUAGGAAAAAUAAAAUAUACUGUAUAUGAAUAAAUAAACAUUUAAAUAUCAAUACAUACAUUUGGACUGGGACAUUGAAGCAUUGUUAAAUUCAUUAGUCAUUAAUUAUGUGUGUAAUAUACUGUAUUGAACAGCCUUGUUGCUUAUCUGAUCCAUCCAGUUCCUGUGUGGAAGUUGAGACAAACACACACGCACGCACAUCCUAGAUUAGGACACAUUGUAACUUUGAAUUAAUAGUUAUACAACAAAUAAAUUAAUAAUAUUGAAUUAAAUUUGAUAAAGAUAAAUUGAUUAUACAUUGACAUUUUAAUUUUUUUUAGGAAUAAACACACAAUAAAAUAAAAGUAAAAUUUAUAUUCUAAAACAUCUAAGGGCAUCUGUGCAAACUGUGAAACAUGUAGUCUGAAGAAGUACAGAUAAGCGUCGACACUCAGCGCCACAGUCAAAACAAAACGUAGAGAAGCGUUAAACAAAUUCUAAUCAGAAGGAAGACAGACCAAAAAAUGAGAACUUAAAUAAACGGACAGCAAGUAAACCAGAAAUAAUAAUGUAAAUAAAUAACAAAGAAAGCAAAUUUCUAUGUGACAUUGGUGCAUGUAGAAUUACAUGUAGAGAAUAAAACUAAAUGGAAAUAACUGUCUGCAAGAUGAGCAUGACGUCAUGAAUUGUGCUCGGGUUAGUAAUAGAUAGAUAGAUAGACAGAUAAAACGUUAUUGAUUCCUUCAGGAGAGUUCCCUCAGGAAGAAGAAGUAAAAAGUAAACAGUAACUAAUAAGGGUAUAAAUGGAAACAAAAUAGAAAAAUAUUACAAGGAGAAUAAAAAUAGAACAGUAAAAUAAGAGAAACUAGGCAUUAACGACCAUGAUAUAAAAAAGUAUUGCACUGUUAUUGUUUUGCAUUCCCUGUCAUCCUAGCCCCCCCAAAGAGGAGUUGUACAGUCUAAUGAUGUAUGAGACAAAGGAUUUUUUUUAUAGGCUAAACCAGUAGUUCUCAAAGGAGGGUAUGGUGUUUCCGCCCGGACAAAAAAGGGGGGUACUUGAAGGUAUGCCAAGGGGUACCUGAGAUUUUAAAUAUUUUAAAAAUAGCGACAAUUCAAAAUCCUUUAUAAAUAUAAUUAUAGAAGAAUAAUUCUUCAACAAAAUAAAUAUUUAGAAUCAAGUUCACGAGCCCAGAUGGAUCUCUAUUACAAUAUCCAAAGAAGGUUGAUGAUUGAUUAUAUGUAUAGAAAUCUUUAUUAUAAUUUAAUCACUUGUUUAAUUUUUAAAACGUUUUAGUUAUUCUUAUUUUUUUUGUUUGUCCAAAUAAGUCAAGUAA